ACAUGUGGAGCGCUUAGAAGUGAGAAUGCCGGUGUGAGUAGCGAAAGACGGGUGAGAAUCCCGUCCACCGAUUGACUAAGGUUUCCAGAGGAAGGCUCGUCCGCUCUGGGUUAGUCGGGUCCUAAGCUGAGGCCGACAGGCGUAGGCGAUGGAUAACAGGUUGAUAUUCCUGUACCACCUAUAAUCGUUUUAAUCGAUGGGGGGACGCAGUAGGAUAGGCGAAGCGUGCGAUUGGAUUGCACGUCUAAGCAGUAAGGCUGAGUAUUAGGCAAAUCCGGUACUCGUUAAGGCUGAGCUGUGAUGGGGAGAAGACAUUGUGUCUUCGAGUCGUUGAUUUCACACUGCCGAGAAAAGCCUCUAGAUAGAAAAUAGGUGCCCGUACCGCAAACCGACACAGGUAGUCAAGAUGAGAAUUCUAAGGUGAGCGAGCGAACUCUCGUUAAGGAACUCGGCAAAAUGACCCCGUAACUUCGGGAGAAGGGGUGCUCUUUAGGGUUAACGCCCAGAAGAGCCGCAGUGAAUAGGCCCAA
Molecule: ribosomal RNA, 530 nt
Filed under: Staphylococcus aureus
Lineage: Bacteria; Bacillati; Bacillota; Bacilli; Caryophanales; Staphylococcaceae
Description: partial 23S ribosomal RNA
Rfam family: Bacterial large subunit ribosomal RNA
Source: RNAcentral